Molecule: ribosomal RNA, 494 nt
Filed under: uncultured bacterium
Lineage: Bacteria
Description: partial 16S ribosomal RNA
Rfam family: Bacterial small subunit ribosomal RNA
Source: RNAcentral
GACGAACGCUGGCGGCGUGCUUAACACAUGCAAGUCGAACGGUGAAGCGCCUUCCUUUUUGGUGGGUGUGGAUGAGUGGCGAACGGGUGAGUAACACGUGAGUAACCUGCCCCCUUCUUCUGGAUAACCGCAUGAAAGUGUGGCUAAUACGGGAUAUUCUGUGUCUGUCGCAUGAUGGGUCUGGGAAAGAUAUUGUUUCGGUGGGGGAUGGGCUCGCGGCCUAUCAGCUUGUUGGUGGGGUGAUGGCCUACCAAGGCGGUGACGGGUAGCCGGCCUGAGAGGGUGGACGGUCACACUGGGACGGAGACACGGCCCAGACUGCUACGGGAGGCAGCAGUGGGGAAUAUUGCACAAUGGGCGCAAGCCUGAUGCAGCGACGCCGCGUGGGGGAUGGAGGCCUGCGGGUUGUGAACCUCUUUCGCCAGUGAAGCAGGCCUGCCUCGUUUGUGGGUGGGUUGACGGUAGCUGGAUAAGAAGCGCCGGCUAACUACGUG